UACGUAGGGGGCAAGCGUUGUCCGGAUUUACUGGGUGUAAAGGGUGCGCAGGUGGCUUGGAAAGUCAGAGGUGAAAUCUGAGAGCUUAACUCUCAAACUGCCAUUGAUACUUCUUAGCUUGAGUACGGAAGAGGCUGAUGGAAUUUCAGGUGUAGCAGUGAAAUGCGUAGAUAUCUGAAAGAACACCAGUGGCGAAGGCGGUCAGCUGGUCCGUUACUGACACUAAAGCACGAAAGCGUGGGUAGCAAACAGG
Molecule: ribosomal RNA, 253 nt
Filed under: uncultured bacterium
Lineage: Bacteria
Description: partial 16S ribosomal RNA
Rfam family: Bacterial small subunit ribosomal RNA
Source: RNAcentral